This 726-nucleotide ribosomal RNA is filed under the name uncultured soil bacterium. RNAcentral describes it as "bacterial SSU rRNA". It matches the Rfam family "Bacterial small subunit ribosomal RNA", at positions 46 to 762 of the family's 1533-position model. The record is from RNAcentral.
GCCUAACACAUGCAAGUCGAACGGAAUGGGGGGCUUGCUCCUCAUUUAGUGGCGCACGGGUGAGUAACGCGUAGAUAAUCUGCCUAAUGAUCUGGGAUAACACUUCGAAAGGGGUGCUAAUACCGGAUAAGCCCACGAUGGCCUUGGUCGUUGCGGGAAAAGGGGGGGACCUUCGGGCCUUCUGUCGUCAGAUGAGUCUGCGUACCAUUAGCUAGUUGGUAGGGUAAUGGCCUACCAAGGCUUCGAUGGGUAGCUGGUCUGAGAGGACGAUCAGCCACACUGGCACUGCGACACGGGCCAGACUCCUACGGGAGGCAGCAGUAAGGAAUAUUGCGCAAUGGGCGAAAGCCUGACGCAGCGACGCCGCGUGGGGGAUGAAGGUCUUCGGAUUGUAAACCCCUUUCGGGAGGGAAGAUGGAACGAGCAAUCGUUCGGACGGUACCUCCAGAAGCAGCCACGGCUAACUUCGUGCCAGCAGCCGCGGUAAUACGAAGGUGGCAAGCGUUAUUCGGAUUUACUGGGCGUACAGGGAGCGUAGGCGGUUCGGUAAGCCCUCUGUGAAAUCUCCAGGCUUAACCUGGAACAGUCGGAGGGGACUGCUGGGCUAGAGGACGGGAGAGGAGCGCGGAAUUCCCGGUGUAGCGGUGAAAUGCGUAGAGAUCGGGAGGAAGGCCGGUGGCGAAGGCGGCGCUCUGGAACGUAUCAGACGCUGAGGCUCGAAAGCGU